UGUACAAUACCAGGAAUGUUAUUAUGCUCCCACUGACCCUUUUGUAUACAUAAGAUUCCUCUUCAUUCUCGAUGAAACCAAAUGAUUUGAUCGCAUUAUCAAAGCAAAGAUUCCAACUUUGAGAAGCUUGCUUUAACUGUAUAUGGACCUUUGCAGCUUGCGACUCUGUGAUUACCAUCACCAGAUGUGAAACCCAAAGGCUGCUCCAUAUAGAU
This 215-nucleotide long non-coding RNA is filed under the name Elaeis guineensis (African oil palm). Its description in RNAcentral is "long non-coding RNA (EGUI_LNC043451)". Lineage: Eukaryota; Viridiplantae; Streptophyta; Magnoliopsida; Arecales; Arecaceae. The record is from RNAcentral.